GACGAACGCUGGCGGCGUGCUUAACACAUGCAAGUCGAACGGAAAGGCCCUGCUUUUGUGGGGUGCUCGAGUGGCGAACGGGUGAGUAACACGUGAGUAACCUGCCCUUGACUUUGGGAUAACUUCAGGAAACUGGGGCUAAUACCGGAUAGGAGCUCCUGCUGCAUGGUGGGGGUUGGAAAGUUUCGGCGGUUGGGGAUGGACUCGCGGCUUAUCAGCUUGUUGGUGGGGUAGUGGCUUACCAAGGCUUUGACGGGUAGCCGGCCUGAGAGGGUGACCGGCCACAUUGGGACUGAGAUACGGCCCAGACUCCUACGGGAGGCAGCAGUGGGGAAUAUUGCACAAUGGGCGGAAGCCUGAUGCAGCAACGCCGCGUGCGGGAUGACGGCCUUCGGGUUGUAAACCGCUUUCGCCUGUGACGAAGCGUGAGUGACGGUAAUGGGUAAAGAAGCACCGGCUAACUACGUGCCAGCAGCCGCGGUGAUACGUAGGGUGCGAGCGUUGUCCGGAUUUAUUGGGCGUAAAGGGCUCGUAGGUGGUUGAUCGCGUCGGAAGUGUAAUCUUGGGGCUUAACCCUGAGCGUGCUUUCGAUACGGGUUGACUUGAGGAAGGUAGGGGAGAAUGGAAUUCCUGGUGGAGCGGUGGAAUGCGCAGAUAUCAGGAGGAACACCAGUGGCGAAGGCGGUUCUCUGGGCCUUUCCUGACGCUGAGGAGCGAAAGCGUGGGGAGCGAACAGGCUUAGAUACCCUGGUAGUCCACGCUGUAAACGGUGGGUACUAGGUGUGGGGUCCAUUCCACGGGUUCCGUGCCGUAGCUAACGCUUUAAGUACCCCGCCUGGGGAGUACGGCCGCAAGGCUAAAACUCAAAGGAAUUGACGGGGCCCCGCACAAGCGGCGGAGCAUGCGGAUUAAUUCGAUGCAACGCGUAGAACCUUACCUGGGUUUGACAUGGAUCGGGAGUGCUCAGAGAUGGGUGUGCCUCUUUUGGGGUCGGUUCACAGGUGGUGCAUGGCUGUCGUCAGCUCGUGUCGUGAGAUGUUGGGUUAAGUCCCGCAACGAGCGCAACCCUUGUUCACUGUUGCCAGCACGUUAUGGUGGGGACUCAGUGGAGACCGCCGGGGUCAACUCGGAGGAAGGUGGGGAUGACGUCAAGUCAUCAUGCCCCUUAUGUCCAGGGCUUCACGCAUGCUACAAUGGCUGGUACAGAGAGUGGCGAGCCUGUGAGGGUGAGCGAAUCUCGGAAAGCCGGUCUCAGUUCGGAUUGGGGUCUGCAACUCGACUUCAUGAAGUCGGAGUCGCUAGUAAUCGCAGAUCAGCAACGCUGCGGUGAAAACGUUCCCGGG
This 1343-nucleotide ribosomal RNA is filed under the name uncultured bacterium. Its description in RNAcentral is "16S ribosomal RNA". It matches the Rfam family "Bacterial small subunit ribosomal RNA", at positions 28 to 1378 of the family's 1533-position model. The record is from RNAcentral.